GACCGGCGUCGAGCGGUGUUGUGCUCGCGCGCAGCUCGGAGCUGCCCACAGGCCGUGCCACCCGGGUCUCGAUCG
RNAcentral lists this transfer RNA (75 nucleotides) under Rhodococcus (subgen. Prescottella) equi. Its description in RNAcentral is "Rhodococcus hoagii tRNA-Pro". Lineage: Bacteria; Bacillati; Actinomycetota; Actinomycetes; Mycobacteriales; Nocardiaceae. The record is from RNAcentral.